This 468-nucleotide ribosomal RNA is filed under the name uncultured bacterium. Its description in RNAcentral is "partial 16S ribosomal RNA". It matches the Rfam family "Bacterial small subunit ribosomal RNA", at positions 28 to 507 of the family's 1533-position model. The record is from RNAcentral.
GACGAACGCUGGCGGCGUGCUUAACACAUGUAAGUCGAACGGAAAGGCCCUGCUUUUGUGGGGUGCUCGAGUGGCGAACGGGUGAGUAACACGUGAGUAACCUGCCCUUGACUUUGGGAUAACUUCAGGAAACUGGGGCUAAUACCGGAUAGGAGCUCCUGCUGCAUGGUGGGGGUUGGAAAGUUUCGGCGGUUGGGGAUGGACUCGCGGCUUAUCAGCUUGUUGGUGGGGUAGUGGCUUACCAAGGCUUUGACGGGUAGCCGGCCUGAGAGGGUGACCGGCCACAGUGGGACUGAGAUACGGCCCAGACUCCAACGGGAGGCAGCAGUGGGGAAUAUUGCAAAAUGGGCGGAAGCCUGAUGCAGCAACGCCGCGUGCGGGAUGACGGCCUUCGGGUUGUAAACCGCUUUCGCCUGUGACGAAGCGUGAGUGACGGUAAUGGGUAAAGAAGCACCGGCUAACUACGUG